Molecule: long non-coding RNA, 339 nt
Filed under: Chinchilla lanigera (long-tailed chinchilla)
Lineage: Eukaryota; Metazoa; Chordata; Mammalia; Rodentia; Chinchillidae
Description: lncRNA (ENSCLAG00000025704.1)
Source: RNAcentral
UUUCCUUACAGCACUCCGUACGUUGAAACUCCCCGAUUCCUCACUUUCGUCCCUCUGAAUCCUAAAUACCUGUCUGAAAUUCCUUUCCUGUGGCAUCACCGUCUUAGCCAAGAAGGCUUCGGAAGAAGCUGAGACUGAAGCACACCAGCAGAGCUUCAGGACAAACAAGACAGAAUCUGCUGAAGGCGGUGAGAUGGAGAUGAGGAAAAUCAUGACAAAAGAAGGAAAUAGGAGAAAAGCAUAUUUGCUCCAGACAUGAUCCUAAUUACUUUCUUUUCUUCUCCGUUGCUGUUUUUGCUUCCAUUGGUUUAAAAAUAAAAUGUCCUGGUUUAGCUCUCA